UACGUAGGGUGCGAGCGUUAAUCGGAAUUACUGGGCGUAAAGCGUGCGCAGGCGGUUCGCUGUGUCCGAUGUGAAAGCCCCGGGCUCAACCUGGGAAUGGCAUUGGAAACUGGCGGGCUGGAGUGUGGCAGAGGGGGGUGGAAUUCCGCGUGUAGCAGUGAAAUGCGUAGAGAUGCGGAGGAACACCGAUGGCGAAGGCAGCCCCCUGGGCCAACACUGACGCUCAGGCACGAAAGCGUGGGGAGCAAACAGG
Molecule: ribosomal RNA, 253 nt
Filed under: uncultured bacterium
Lineage: Bacteria
Description: partial 16S ribosomal RNA
Rfam family: Bacterial small subunit ribosomal RNA
Source: RNAcentral